GGCCUGCACCCUAGAGGAAAGGGCAAAGGGAAGCCUUAUUAUCUUGACAAAUCAGGCAAUCAGAUGGAAAAGGGAUAGAAGAAGCUUGCAAGGCACACCAUAGUGUGUAGCUGUUUGAAAACUGGAAUGCAUGCAGAAAUCUCUAGAAGGCAUGGCCAGUUGGCCACUUAGGGCCUGUUUGGAUAUGCUAUUGCUAAAAUUUAGCAAGCGCUAAAGUUUAGCUUAUCUAAAGUUUAGCAUUUCCACCCAUUAGCACUUCCAUUUGGAGACAUAGCUAAUGGAUUGAGCUAAAAUUCAUGGAAAGUUAUUUUGCCCUUUUAUCUCCUCACCUCCUCCCUUUAUCUCUCCCCCUUUUGUCUUUUCACAAGCCAUUAGCAUCUUUUAGCUCCUCCCCACUAGCUAAUGCUUUGACACCUUUUUGGAGGUGGGCUAAAGUUUAGCCCUCCCAUUAGCCCUUCCGUUUGGAU
This 467-nucleotide long non-coding RNA is filed under the name Setaria viridis. RNAcentral's name for it is "long non-coding RNA (SVIR_LNC005849)". Lineage: Eukaryota; Viridiplantae; Streptophyta; Magnoliopsida; Poales; Poaceae. The record is from RNAcentral.